Molecule: ribosomal RNA, 301 nt
Filed under: uncultured bacterium
Lineage: Bacteria
Description: partial 16S ribosomal RNA
Rfam family: Bacterial small subunit ribosomal RNA
Source: RNAcentral
CAGCCGCCGCGGGAAUACGUAGGUGGCAAGCGUUAUCCGGAAUUAUUGGGCGUAAAGCGCGCGUAGGCGGUUUUUUAAGUCUGAUGUGAAAGCCCACGGCUCAACCGUGGAGGGUCAUUGGAAACUGGAAAACUUGAGUGCAGAAGAGGAAAGUGGAAUUCCAUGUGUAGCGGUGAAAUGCGCAGAGAUAUGGAGGAACACCAGUGGCGAAGGCGACUUUCUGGUCUGUAACUGACGCUGAUGUGCAAAAGCGUGGGGAUCAAACAGGAUUAGAUACCCCAGUAGUCCCUGUCUCUUAUAC